GUGGGGAAUAUUGGACAAUGGGCGAAAGCCUGAUCCAGCCAUGCCGCGUGUGUGAUGAAGGUCUUCGGAUUGUAAAGCACUUUAAGUUGGGAGGAAGGGCAGUAAGUUAAUACCUUGCUGUUUUGACGUUACCGACAGAAUAAGCACCGGCUAACUUCGUGCCAGCAGCCGCGGUAAUACGAAGGGUGCAAGCGUUAAUCGGAAUUACUGGGCGUAAAGCGCGCGUAGGAGGUUUUGUAAGUUGGAGGUGAAAUCCCCGGGCUCAACCGGGGAAGUGCGUCCGAUACGGCAGGACUAGAGUUCGGUAGAGGGUAGUGGAAUUUCCUGUGUAGCGGUGAAAUGCGUAGAUAUAGGAAGGAACACCAGUGGCGAAGGCGACUACCUGGACGGAUACUGACACUGAGGUGCGAAAGCGUGGGGCGCAAACAGGAUUAGAAACCCUGGUAGUCC
RNAcentral lists this ribosomal RNA (450 nucleotides) under uncultured bacterium. RNAcentral describes it as "partial 16S ribosomal RNA". It matches the Rfam family "Bacterial small subunit ribosomal RNA", at positions 354 to 796 of the family's 1533-position model. The record is from RNAcentral.